GUAGUCUCGCACAGAUGCAUAUCAAUAAGCGGAGGAAAAGAAACUAACAAGGAUUCCCUCAGUAACGGCGAGUGAAGCGGGAAGAGCUCAAAUUUGAAAUCUUGAAAGGUCACCUUUCACGAAUUGUAGUUUAAAGAAGUGUUUUCUGUUACGAUCGUAAUAUAAGUUCUUUGGAAUAGGACAUCACAGAGGGUGAGAAUCCCGUCUAUGAUUGCGAUUUGUAGCUUUGUGAUACACUUUCAAAGAGUCGGGUUGUUCGGGAAUGCAGCCCAAAACGGGAGGUAAAUUUCUUCUAAGGCUAAAUAUUGGCGAGAGACCGAUAGCGAACAAGUACCGUGAGGGAAAGAUGAAAAGAACUUUGAAAAGAGAGUUAAAUAGUACGUGAAAUUGUCAAAAGGGAAGCGUUUAACACCAGUGUUGUUUUCUGAAAAUCAACCUCUGUUAGCUUUAUGCAUGUUUGUUUAGACCUAAUCAGCUAUCUUUCAUGUUCUAUUGUUUGCAGUGGUGCACUUUUCAGUUUACAGGUCAACAUCAGUUUUUUUUACCGUAAAAAAGUUAAAGAAAGGUAGCUCAUGGCUCCGGUCGUGAGUGUUAUAGUCUUUUUCCUAUGCGGUAGGAGAGACUGAGGUCUGCAGUGUAGGCUAUUUGGCUAGAUACUCAGGUGCUAUGUGAUACCAUUUCAUAAACAACUUGUUGAUUAUGUUUUGUCUAUUGCAUACUCGCUUGUACUAUCAUACCUACGCUUAGGAUGUUGAGUCGUAGAGCACGCAG
This 771-nucleotide ribosomal RNA is filed under the name uncultured Neocallimastigales. Its description in RNAcentral is "partial large subunit ribosomal RNA". The stretch from base 6 to 661 matches the Rfam family "Eukaryotic large subunit ribosomal RNA", at positions 24 to 664 of the family's 3401-position model. Lineage: Eukaryota; Fungi; Neocallimastigomycota; Neocallimastigomycetes; Neocallimastigales. The record is from RNAcentral.